RNAcentral lists this ribosomal RNA (497 nucleotides) under uncultured bacterium. RNAcentral's name for it is "partial 16S ribosomal RNA". It matches the Rfam family "Bacterial small subunit ribosomal RNA", at positions 28 to 507 of the family's 1533-position model. The record is from RNAcentral.
GAUGAACGCUGGCGGCGUGCCUAAUACAUGCAAGUCGAGCGAACGGACGAGAAGCUUGCUUCUCUGAUGUUAGCGGCGGACGGGUGAGUAAAACGUGGAGAACCUACCUAUAAGACUGGGAUAACUUCGGGAAACCGGAGCUAAUACCGGAUAAUAUUUUGAACCGCAUGGUUCAAAAGUGAAGGACGGUCUUGCUGUCACUUAUAGAUGGAUCCGCGCUGCAUUAGCUAGUUGGUAAGGUAACGGCUUACCAAGGCAACGAUGCAUAGCCGACCUGAGAGGGUGAUCGGCCACACUGGAACUGAGACACGGUCCAGACUCCUACGGGAGGCAGCAGUAGGGAAUCUUCCGCAAUGGGCGAAAGCCUGACGGAGCAACGCCGCGUGAGUGAUGAAGGUCUUCGGAUCGUAAAACUCUGUUAUUAGGGAAGAACAUAUGUGUAAGUAACUGUGCACAUCUUGACGGUACCUAAUCAGAAAGCCACGGCUAACUACGUG